RNAcentral lists this ribosomal RNA (512 nucleotides) under uncultured bacterium. Its description in RNAcentral is "bacterial SSU rRNA". It matches the Rfam family "Bacterial small subunit ribosomal RNA", at positions 8 to 518 of the family's 1533-position model. The record is from RNAcentral.
AGAGUUUGAUCCUGGCUUAGGAUGAACGCUGGCGGCGUGCUUAACACAUGCAAGUCGAACGGAGUUUUUAAACGGAAGUUUUCGGAUGGAAGUUUAAGAACUUAGUGGCGGACGGGUGAGUAACGCGUGGGUAACCUGCCUCAUACAGGGGGAUAACAGUUAGAAAUGACUGCUAACACCGCAUAAUAUAGUGAAACCGCAUGAUUUUUGCUAUCAAAUAUUUAUAGGUAUGAGAUGGGCCCGCGUCUGAUUAGCUAGUUGGUGGGGUAAAAGCCUACCAAGGCGACGAUCAGUAGCCGGCUUGAGAGAGUGACCGGCCACAUUGGGACUGAGACACGGCCCAAACUCCUACGGGAGGCAGCAGUGGGGAAUAUUGGACAAUGGGGGAAACCCUGAUCCAGCGAACCGCCGCGUGAGUGAAGAAGUAUUUCGGUAUGUAAAGCUCUAUCAGCAGGGAAGAUAAUGACAGUACCUGACUAAGAAGCCCCGGCUAACUACGUGCCAGCCGCUGC